Molecule: ribosomal RNA, 246 nt
Filed under: Triticum aestivum (bread wheat)
Lineage: Eukaryota; Viridiplantae; Streptophyta; Magnoliopsida; Poales; Poaceae
Description: partial small subunit ribosomal RNA
Source: RNAcentral
AUGUGUGUACCUAAGAAAGAAGAGGGAAUGGGUUUGAGAGAUAUACAUUGUUUCAAUCUUGCUCUAUUGGCCAAACAAGCUUGGUGUUUGACAGAUGAUCCCGAGUCUCUUUGUGCCACAAUACUUCGUGCGGAAUAUCUUCCUGAUGGCGACUUGCUUAAUGCCACUUUGAAGUAUAAGGCGUCCUAUACAUGGCAGAGUAUGAUGGAAGGAGUGAGUACACUCAAGCUGGGACAUGUUUGGUGA